CGGGUGAGUAACACGUGGGUGAUCUGCCCUGCACUUCGGGAUAAGCCUGGGAAACUGGGUCUAAUACCGGAUAUGACCUUCGGCUGCAUGGCUGAGGGUGGAAAGGUUUACUGGUGCAGGAUGGGCCCGCGGCCUAUCAGCUUGUUGGUGGGGUAAUGGCCUACCAAGGCGACGACGGGUAGCCGACCUGAGAGGGUGACCGGCCACACUGGGACUGAGACACGGCCCAGACUCCUACGGGAGGCAGCAGUGGGGAAUAUUGCACAAUGGGCGAAAGCCUGAUGCAGCGACGCCGCGUGAGGGAUGACGGCCUUCGGGUUGUAAACCUCUUUCAGCAGGGACGAAGCGAAAGUGACGGUACCUGCAGAAGAAGCACCGGCCAACUACGUGCCAGCAGCCGCGGUAAUACGUAGGGUGCAAGCGUUGUCCGGAAUUACUGGGCGUAAAGAGCUCGUAGGCGGUUUGUCGCGUCGUCUGUGAAAACUCGAGGCUCAACCUCGAGCUUGCAGGCGAUACGGGCAGACUUGAGUACUGCAGGGGAGACUGGAAUUCCUGGUGUAGCGGUGAAAUGCGCAGAUAUCAGGAGGAACACCGGUGGCGAAGGCGGGUCUCUGGGCAGUAACUGACGCUGAGGAGCGAAAGCGUGGGUAGCGAACAGGAUUAGAUACCCUGGUAGUCCACGCCGUAAACGGUGGGCGCUAGGUGUGGGUUUCCUUCCACGGGAUCCGUGCCGUAGCUAACGCAUUAAGCGCCCCGCCCUGGGGAGUACGGCCGCAAGGCUAAAACUCAAAGGAAUUGACGGGGGCCCG
This 809-nucleotide ribosomal RNA is filed under the name Rhodococcus sp. (in: high G+C Gram-positive bacteria). RNAcentral's name for it is "bacterial SSU rRNA". It matches the Rfam family "Bacterial small subunit ribosomal RNA", at positions 103 to 923 of the family's 1533-position model. Lineage: Bacteria; Bacillati; Actinomycetota; Actinomycetes; Mycobacteriales; Nocardiaceae. The record is from RNAcentral.